This 253-nucleotide ribosomal RNA is filed under the name uncultured bacterium. Its description in RNAcentral is "partial 16S ribosomal RNA". It matches the Rfam family "Bacterial small subunit ribosomal RNA", at positions 524 to 776 of the family's 1533-position model. The record is from RNAcentral.
UACGUAGGGGGCAAGCGUUAUCCGGAUUUACUGGGUGUAAAGGGAGCGUAGACGGCAGGGCAAGUCUGGAGUGAAAGGCAGGGGCCCAACCCCUGGACUGCUCUGGAAACUGUCCGGCUGGAGUGCAGGAGAGGUAAGUGGAAUUCCUGGUGUAGCGGUGAAAUGCGUAGAUAUUAGGAGGAACACCAGUGGCGAAGGCGGCUUACUGGACUGUAACUGACGUUGAGGCUCGAAAGCGUGGGGAGCAAACAGG